This is a non-coding RNA of Myotis brandtii (Brandt's bat), 68 nucleotides long. The record is from Rfam. Lineage: Eukaryota; Metazoa; Chordata; Mammalia; Chiroptera; Vespertilionidae.
GGCUGGGUAGCUCAGUUGGUUAGAGCAUUGUCCUGAUACGCCAAAGUUGUGGGUUCAAUCCCUGGUCA